AUAGAUGUGGUGAAAAUAAACACAAUUGACUUAGAAUCAAUAUCCUGUAGGUUAUACCCCUACCAUCUAAA
RNAcentral lists this transfer RNA (71 nucleotides) under Docosaccus maculatus. RNAcentral describes it as "tRNA-Leu". It matches the Rfam family "tRNA". Rfam says of the family: Transfer RNA (tRNA) molecules are approximately 80 nucleotides in length. Their secondary structure includes four short double-helical elements and three loops (D, anti-codon, and T loops). Lineage: Eukaryota; Metazoa; Porifera; Hexactinellida; Lyssacinosida; Euplectellidae. The record is from RNAcentral.